Molecule: long non-coding RNA, 492 nt
Filed under: Ananas comosus (pineapple)
Lineage: Eukaryota; Viridiplantae; Streptophyta; Magnoliopsida; Poales; Bromeliaceae
Description: long non-coding RNA (ACOM_LNC022268)
Source: RNAcentral
CUUGGACUAGAUAUGGACUUAGCAAGUUAAUGUCAUAAAGGGGCAUUAGGCUUGGAAUAUGUGUGGACUUGGUAAACCUAAUGUCAUAAAGUGGCAUUAGCGUUGGAACAAGAUUUUGGCAUAGUGUGAUAUAAUGCCAUAAAGGGGUAUUGGACAUAAUGAAUGGUUAAACCUUCACUUGGGACAUUGGACUAGACCUAUGAGUUGCUAGCGAUCUUUUCCAUGGUAGAGCCAUGAUGACCGGAUCGUUGAGACGAUGACUUUGCUUGCUUGCCAUUUGUGCUCAUUCGCACAUGCUUGUGAGGGUCGCUCCCUACAAGCCGGCACUUCGGAGUUGGCCUUUUUGCGACGCAGUUUCCGAGUGCGGGAUUGAGACGCCUGUAGGGUCGCGUGGGACAGCCUUAUUCCAGCUUGGGAUGAUGUGCUACCACGGGCAGCUAGGCGGCGAGGCGCCUGUAGGGUCGUGUAGGACAGUCCUGUUCCUCGAGGGGG